GAGGGUAUAGCUCAGUGGUAGAGUGCUUGCCCAGCAUGUGGGAGGUCCUGGGUUCAAUCCCCAGUGCCUCCA
This 72-nucleotide transfer RNA is filed under the name Camelus bactrianus (Bactrian camel). It matches the Rfam family "tRNA". Rfam says of the family: Transfer RNA (tRNA) molecules are approximately 80 nucleotides in length. Their secondary structure includes four short double-helical elements and three loops (D, anti-codon, and T loops). RNAcentral also lists the same sequence under 2 other names. Lineage: Eukaryota; Metazoa; Chordata; Mammalia; Artiodactyla; Camelidae. The record is from Rfam by way of RNAcentral.